GGAAGGAUCAUUCUUGUAUACCAGGUCGAGCGUAAGCUUGGCCUAACCAUGUGUGAAUCAGUGUUCUUUUUCCCGGCGGGAUCUUUGGUGUUGACUCUGGGCUUUGCCUGGAAGAGCCUUAGUGACGGCUGGGGUAUUGCCUCGCAAGAGGUCAACAUGUUAAUAGCAGGGAACUCAAAAAGUAACAAUUACAACUUUAAACGAUGGAUCUCUUGGCUCUCACACCGAUGAAGAACGCAGCAAACUGCGAUAAGCAAUGCGAAACGCAGUUGUUCGUGAGUCAUCCGGUAUUCGAACGCACAUGGCAGGUCUUCGGACCUACGCCUGGUUGAGGGUCUUUAUUACUCCAUUUCUAUGGGAUGUGAGUGGGCAUUUGGCUCACUUCAAAGGCAGGGUAACUUGUACCGUAACCGUUUGGUGGAUAACCUAGCGGGCAUUGGUAACAAGCGAUGGCUGGCAAGCAGUUAUCAUUUCAAAUUUGACCUCAACUCAGACGAGACUACCCGCUGAACUUAAGCAUAUCAAUAAGCGGAGGAAAAGACACCAACAGGGAUUCCCUUAGUAACGGCGAGUGAAAAGGGAGAAGCGCAACAUGGGAAUCGUGCCGCAAGGUACGAGUUGUAGGGUUGCAUUGUUUGCCUGGGAUGAAGCGGCGUGUAAGUCUCUUGGAAUAGAGCAGCAUAGAGGGUGAUACUCCCGUAACGCGCUGCAGAGUCUGUGAUGGCAAGCAAUAGGCGAGUCGAGUUGUUUGGGAAUGCAGCUCCAAAGGGUGGUAAACUCCAUCCAACGCUAAAUACUGGUGAGAGACCGAUAGCAAACAAGUACCGUGAGGGAAAGAUGAAAAGCACCUUGAAAAGGGCGUUAAAAGAAUGUGAAAUCGUUUAGGGGGAAGCGUUGCCAGCGAGUGCAGUAUAACGCAGAUCAUGCACUCUAUCAGGGUGCUGCACUGUGUGUUGUACUGGUCCACAUCAGUUUUGGCUGCUGGAUAAUCUCUCUGGAAGGUAGCGUCCUCGGACGUGUUAAGCCAGGGAGGGCGCAGUGGCUGGGACUGAGGACCGCCGUGCACGUUUGCGGGGCCUCUUAUCUCUGUCUUUCUGCCAGCAGGUGCAUUUUUAAUGAGCUUGUUGAGUAGAUUGUCACCGGUGGGAGUGAUCGCCUAUGCACGAAGGAUGUGGGCGAAAUCGCUUGUAGCGACCCGUCUUGAAACACGGACCAAGGAGUCUAAUUGAUGUGCGAGUGGUAAGGUGGCAAACCUUAGCGCGUAAUGAAAGUAACAGGUACGACCUUCGGGCAGUAUCGGCCGGACGAGAUCUACGGUGAUCGUCCUGAGCAAGAGCAUAUCGACUAGGACCCGAAAGAUGGUGAUCUAUGGCUGCGUAGGAUGAAGCCGGGGGAAACUCCGGUGGAAGUCCGCAGCGGUUCUGACGUGCAAAUCGAUCGUCGAACGUGGCUAUAGGGGCGAAAGACUAAUCGAACCAUCUAGUAUUCAGUUGCUAGAAACAGUAGGCCCAUGCCUGCUAGUCAAGUAGUCAUCUAUUGAUGGGAGACUACUGGCGAGGUAACCUGGUACGAGGAAGGUCUACGGACUAAUCUCGUGGUGAGCCUAGGCCACCGUAACGCACGCAAAGGUACCGGUCUUAAUUGACUCAAGGAACGUGCUAGUCCCAUACGAAAGUAUGCCUACUGCAAUAGGACCCAUCAUCCGAAGGCAGUGGAAACAAUAUUGAAAGAGAAUAUAUUGUUGGUAGAAUGAGCUGGUUCCUGC
Molecule: unclassified non-coding RNA, 1765 nt
Filed under: uncultured fungus
Lineage: Eukaryota; Fungi
Description: sequence contains 18S rRNA gene, ITS1, 5.8S rRNA gene, ITS2, 28S rRNA gene
Rfam family: Eukaryotic large subunit ribosomal RNA (bases 480-1765)
Source: RNAcentral